RNAcentral lists this ribosomal RNA (296 nucleotides) under uncultured Glomeromycotina. RNAcentral's name for it is "partial 28S ribosomal RNA". The record is from RNAcentral. Lineage: Eukaryota; Fungi; Glomeromycota.
CAUCACUCAGCGGGUAGCGUUCGUAAUUUAUUGCUUACGUUUUCCGUGUACUUUGUUGUCUGCUGGUUAGCAUCAAUUUUGAUUGUCAUAAAAAGGUUAAGGGGAUGUGGCUCCUUCGGGAGUGUUAUAACCCUUAGCGGAAUGUGGCGAUUGGGAUUGAGGAUUGCAACGAAUACCUUUAGGGCAGUUCCGUCUGGUCUCUUGUUGAUUUUCAGAUAGCAAAAGCUUGCUUUUGUUGUUUGAAUAGUUAGCAAAUAGAUUGGAAAGUGAAUUAAUUCGUUAAGGAUGCUGACGUA